UGGGGAAUAUUGGACAAUGGGGGCAACCCUGAUCCAGCGAUGCCGCGUGUGUGAAGAAGGCCUGCGGGUUGUAAAGCACUUUAGUUGGGGAGGAGAAGGUUCGUAUGAAUAAUGAGGACUGGAGACGUUACCCAAAGAAUAAGCACCGGCAAACUCUGUGCCAGCAGCCGCGGUAAUACAGAGGGUGCAAGCGUUAAUCGGAGUUACUGGGCGUAAAGGGCACGUAGGUGGUUAUAUAAGUCAGUUGUGAAAUCCCCGGGCUUAACCUGGGAACUGCAGCUGAUACUGUGUGACUAGAGUCGAAGAGAGGGAAGCGGAAUUUCCGGUGUAGCGGUGAAAUGCGUAGAUAUCGGAAGGAACAUCUGUGGCGAAGGCGGCUUCCUGGAUUCAGACUGACACUGAGGUGCGAAAGCGUGGGUAGCGAACAGGAUUAGAUACCCAAGUAGUCCCUGAGCGGGCUGGCAAGGCGCAU
RNAcentral lists this ribosomal RNA (472 nucleotides) under uncultured bacterium. Its description in RNAcentral is "bacterial SSU rRNA". It matches the Rfam family "Bacterial small subunit ribosomal RNA", at positions 355 to 825 of the family's 1533-position model. The record is from RNAcentral.